GACAUGUUUACACCUUAUACCUUUUGUUGCUAUGAGACUAUUGCUUAUCUAUCUAGGUCACUUUAUGUUUUUUUUUCACAAGUUGAAGCCUAACCUGAGCGGGAAAAGGAGAACAGAGUACAUGUUCUGAAACUAAGCGAAAAGUACCAACAGUUGAAUUGCAGAUCCGCCCAGUUUCUGCUGGUACAUAAAUCAAAGAGAAAGAGAAGAAAUCCCAGAAAGGUGAGGAGGGUCAAAGUUCCCUAACUCACUUGACGUUAUCGUCUGGUGAAGUUCCUUCCUCUUUGGUUUUUUUAUCAGCAGAUAAAGCAUGACUGGAAAGAUGUAGAUUAGCAGGGAGUAGUCUUAAAACAACACCUUGAUUUUAGUUUACAGAAGUCACAGGUAUGAAACGGUGUCAUAUGUUCAUCAAUUUAAGUCAGCCCUGGUAUGUGAUUUCACCAGCAGCAGGGCAUCUGCCCCUGAGGCCAGUGAUUUCCCCUCUAAGCCAUUCUUCCUUCCCAGCUCUUCCUUCCAGUGAAAUACUUUUCAUAGCAAAGCCUGUUUGCGGUGCAGUGACCUAACGCCCCCAGCACCCUCCCUGCUCCACACACGCACACACACACGCACACACAGAGGCUUCUGUCUUCACUCAAACCAGGAUAUGGCCUCCUGCACACGCUCAUAGUCUUAUGACAGGGUGUGACUUCGGCUGACUGGACGUAUGACUCGCUGAAGAAACGUGUUUGUGAGAAAAUGGUGGAACUGGACAGAUCUCAUAUUGGCGUUUCUCUUGCUGGGCUGACGUCGUGUCUUUGCAAUUUGUUGUGGCAACAAACAGCUCAGACUUGAUAUCUCUGACCUCCAAGACUCACAGGCGCAAAAACAUGAAGCACUCAAAAUAUAUUUGUCCUUCUGAAACAUCUCCAUAUUUUUCCACUAAGGCUGCAGACGUCGUCGUAUUCUUAGCAGAAUUUUUAAGAGAGACCAAUCUAAGUCUGGGGGACGACAUGGUUGAACAACGUAUCAUGAUGCAAGCAUUUCAUAUCAGUUGAUGUCGGUAAUUAUUGAUUAUUGAUUUUUCACUCACUUUUUCUUUUUUUUUUUUUUUCAAUCAGUUAUGAGGCCUGGGGGCAAAACCUGAAACUGGGGCUGCACCAGCUGAUUGUUGCUAGGUUACCAUAAGUUAUUCUACAAGUUGUUGCUAGGUAACCAAAGAGUGAGUGAGUUAGUUGAUGCCACCAACUUGGCUUAGCCGGCUGUUAGAGGUUGAGUGGUUAAAACUUUUUCCCUGCCUACAUCCCCCAGAAUGCUUUGUGGUUCCGGAUCAGUUCAGUGAAAUUAUUGAAUGCUCUGUUCUCAGAUGCUCACAGUUUAAUCUGUCCUAAGGAUUGAACACAAAUGACACUGACUAGAUUUGCACACAAAUAAUAUUGCAGCUACAGUGAAAUUCAGAUUUACUAUGUUUUUUUUUCCUAUUGGCUAAUUACAAAUACACGCCACACUUUUCAUAUUCUUCCGUCCAAAACACUUCCUUACUACUCGUGUCGGUUCGUUUCAAGAAUGUCUAAUGAAAGUGCCGUUGUAGCGUGAUCUGAUAAAGACUGUACAACUCUGGUACAGAGCUGGCUUGGCAAACACCUGGCUUGAGAAGGAAGCAACAAUAAAGGGAGCUUGAAUUAUCUUUACUGCACCUGUAGUUCAAACAUUUAUGCUCUUCAACGCACCGACGGUGCACUGCAUGAAUUACAGUUGAGCUUUGUUAUCUGGACUCGUGGCCCCUCCCUGCCGUUUGCAGCUUUAUUGAACCCUUUAUCUAAUCAACCGUCUCUGGACCUUGAGAGUAAGACCCAACUCGGCUCUGCGCAGCAUUCCUCUGAAACACAGAGGAGGCGGAGGGGGGUUGGUCGACGCUGAAACCAGGAAGAUGAGAAGGGUUGGGCGGGCUUCUGAAGAAGGUGGUAGUUUGAGCAAUUUACCGAUGCUAAUGAGGAAAAGGGGAAGCGAGUUUGACUUUGGCUUCGAUGGAGGGAGAUAAGAGUGGAGUUUGGUCAUUGGGGUGGGCAGAGAGGAAAGGAGAAAUUACCUAGGAAGUUUGGCAUAAAGAGAGACGGAGUGAGAGGGGAAAGCUCACGGGAAAGGAGCAGGAGGGAACAGGAAAAACUAGACAAAACACGAGACAGUGUGGAUCAGAGAAGAGAAAAUGGUCUGAUUUGAUGUGUGGUUAGAUCCUGGUUUCUGUCUGCUGAGGUGUAGAAAGAGUUUGUUUUGAGAUUUGUUCACCAUCUGCUGUGCUGCUCCAGCUCAUUUACAAAAAGCUAAGGUCAGGUCUGCUUUAUGCAAAUCCUGACCAAGAACUGCCACAAGCUUCGUGUGGUCUGAGCUGAACAGGUUCUGGGAAAAUUUUUUUUUUUUUUUUUUUAAAAACACCAGGAAGGGAACAGAAAGGUCCUGUUCCCUUCACACACAAAAAAAGUUCUGUUCCCUUCCUGGAUGAAAAAGGAAGGUAAAAAAAAAAAAAAAAAGGAGGGAUAAACUGUUUGUUUUAGCUGCAGCGCUGCAUUAAGAGACUGCUGGCAGCAGAUUUCCACGCAGCAGUGAAAGAACUGCAAACUCACACACACCCACAGUCACACACACAAAGCGUGGUGAUGCAGCAGUAGUUAGUGAUGCUAUCAGCAGUCUUGUUUCCACACAGUGUUAUAAGGAUCCUGGCUUAAAAUAAACCAAAUAUAAUCAGACGGUUGAGGUAUAUACGAUGUAAUCUACCUAUAGCUCAUCUGGUACAAGGAUAAACAAACUCGGGUCAAAAGCAGGCAUCCAAAGUCCUACUCUGGUUCCCUGAGACGACCCAGACACGUCCACCAGCUGUACACACUCACACACACAUCCGCCAAAAGGAUCGAAAGCGCACUGACCUGCAGUAGAAACAACUUUGAAAUGCCUCCUUUCCAUUAUACGGUUGAGUAGAACCAUGUUUUUUUUUCUUUUUUUUUCUUUCCUUCUUCUGUAUUCAGCGGCACUUUGCCUAGCAUUUCCACACAGAUACUGGUUAUUCAAUACAGUAAAGUCGACUUGCUUUUGGCCUCAAGACAGCAGCUUUAUUCAGCCAGAAGGACGUGUAGCAAAUAGUUUGAAGGUCACAGCCAGUUGAAAAAAAAUAUCUGGCAUUUAGAAGGGAAGAAUGUCAAAGAAUAACACAACUUAUAAAUAACACUGCAAAUAUUCAUACUUUCACAACUUCUCCACAUGUUACUGUACAUGUGGAGAAGUUUAAUAUAUUUUACUUUUUUUUAAGAUUGCUCUAUAGUUAGCUCUUUCCACGUAAGCAAAAGUCUUCCCUCACCAUGAUGCUGCCACCACCAUGUUUUACGCACAGUGCAGCUCAUGUAACAGUUUGCAUAUAGGGUAAAACGUUUAAUUUUGGUUUAAUGAGCAGAGUACCUUCCUCCACAUAUUAGCUGCGUCUCCUGCACGACAAACUGCAAAUGGCUUUAUGCUUGUUAAUUAAUUUUACAGAUAAAGUGACAUACUUUCUGCAAGCAUUUGAACUGUGGCAUGUGUAAAUUAGAGCACAAACAUAUUUCCUCAUGUGAAAAAAGGAAUUCUUUCUAAGACUUCUUUAAAAUAACAUUGUUAUUUAUAUUUACAAGAGAUAACUGUCUUCAUCAUGAUGCUUCGAUGGUGUGGAAAUUAAACUCUUUUCCUGAUUUCCAAAUUAGCCUGUUUUUGUCUUUCUGGCUGCUGCAGUAUUGAUUUUUUUUUUUUUUCCCUUCCCAGUGGCCUUCGUGUCUCUUUUUCCUCCUCUCUCCGUUUCUUCCCUCUCAUUCGUCUCAGGAAUGCCUAGAAUGUGCUUAUCGGUGCCCAUGCAAACACAAGUGUGAGCCGGCAGGAGAGGUCGAGUUUCUCUGCAGAACCCAGUCAGACUCACUGCAGCACAAACUGGCAUCCAGUCAGCCUGAAACCAGAACCAGAUCCUCAUUCUUCCUGUAAAGUCCCCUAAAAGGACCGGCUGUGCCAGUGUUUGGCCAAAUAUGAGUAAAACGGGAAACAAAUCAUAGCUUGGGCUAAUUUAACUAGUGGUGAGGAUACCGUGGGAGCUUUAGUUGUUGUUGUUGUUUUUUUUUUACUAUUAUUAUUUGUUCACUUGCUAAAAUAUGGUAAGUAAAGUUAAUAGCUCGGUAAACACUUUUAUUAUAAAGAUCUGAAGAAAGUCUUAUCGGAUCUGUCCAGCAUAUCUAAGCGUUUGUCCACUUUUAUUGAAUUCUACAAAGUCUGCUUCAUUUGAAGUCAAACUCUGAUGAAGACCAGAAAAGCACAUUUUGGUUCGCCUGAAAGCUUAGGUGAGGUGAACUCUUCGGAUACAUAGGUGAAGGUGAAUGCCAUGUGGACCAGAGAACCCUCCAAACCCUGGAAGCGAACUGUAGUGCAUUGCUUUCUGGGAAAAUACAACCAGAACAAACGUGUCUGGUUCUAGAGUCGUGUGCAAGUGGGAGGAAUGACUCGUUUUCUUUCACUAAGACAAAAGAAACAUCCAGAACCACUGAAAUUUGAUGCCAUUCCAUUCUUGUUUACUUUUCGUGAAGAAGGAAGUGCACAAGACACAAAGGUUUUUGUUUGCACGUUUUUGUAAAAAAAAAAAAAAAAAAAAACUGGCAAAAAAGCAUUUCUUACCUUCUUCACACUCUGAAAAAUGUAACAUCAGCUGUGAACAGAUGUUACGCUUAUGCUGUGAAACUUUACAGCCUCCAUGAUCACACUCCUAAAAGACAAGUAAAGGACAAAUGGAUCAGCCCAGACUUCUUACAUUUUUAAGUUUAAAGCUGUUGUUUGUUUAUUAAUCACCUUCACACAUGUUCUGUAAGACUGGGCUCUGGGUUAAAGCUGGUGACAUUAUAAGAUUUGAGGUAAAUCACUUCAGGUGCUACACAAACACAGGAGAAAAACAGUUUAGAGGGUCACACAACCCGUUUACCAAGAUGAUCAGUAAACACAUUUGGGAUUAUAUAAACUAUAAAAUAAAAGCAAUUUCUCUUAAAAAGAGAUUUUUAAAUUCAUAGCCUUUUCGUGCAUAAAUUAUUCUCCAGUCGUCGGACUUUGCAUCUUUAAACAGCCACACAGAAAUGCAUCCAGACACGGUUUAUUGUGUGUUCCUCUUGUCCAGACGGCCUGCCUCUAGACGCACACUAGUAGCCAUUGAUGCCUCCGCACAAAGCAUCCUCACAGGCAAACACAUGCGACCACAAUACAGCCACUACCAUACGCCCUGCUUCACGUACGCCUGUGCAUAAAAUCAGUCUGACAAGGAGCAGACAAAAGGCCGGACUGUUGGCGUCCAUGAAGGCCCCCGAUACGCUCGCAGCGUUCACCCCGGCAGGUCUAAAUGGAUUUCCUCGCAUCGCCGCAGAGGACAAUGAGUCUUGUUUGGACUCAUGCAUAUACACACACAGCUGAUUCUCAGGUUAUAGUGAGAAUCCUUUGUCUUUUAAGAAACAUCAGACGACACUUGUGUCCUACAGUGGGACUUGAACUGAAGAGAUUUCCCUCUUCUCUCUCUCUCUCUCUCUCUCUCGUUUUGUUCUCGACGCGGCGCAGGCUCACGCUGUUCUCACCUUCCCCGUCUGGUUCUGUGUGUUAAUUUACAGCAGGAAGGCGACACACGGACUCUGAGUAAUGAUUAACAUCAGCCUUUCCUCUGUGGCUUCAGUCACCAGGGUUAUGAUGGAGACAAAAAAAAAAGAAUCUAACUCUGCUGUCUUUUAUGGCUAAAUAUCACCGAUCGCUGCUUUCAUUUGUGUUUUAUGGUGUCGUUUCACAAGUCGGCUUUGUCCAGCUUUGGAUCUGGAACAGGUCUGAUCUGUGUAGAUCUGUUUGUUUUUAUGGCAUAUUUAUGCUAAAUGGAUCUUUACAAUGACUCUUAAGUCCAAGUGUACUUUCUAUACUAAAUAUUGCGUUACUGUUGAAAGGUUCCCAGACAAUUUGCCACCAUUUAUGCUAAAUAUCCACCUUAAGGUUCAAACGAAGUAGAAACAGAUUAACAGAGAUUAGAGCAUAAAAUAAAAAAGCACCCUGAUAUCUACGAUCAAGUUGCUGAAGUUGGAAGCUACCUCUGAAUAAACUGGCCGAUUAUUUUAUUAUUGAAUCAGCUCUGGCUGUUUUUCUUCUCGGGUUUUAUAGAGAAAAGGUUUCAGCUCCACAUUUAUGUCCUUGUGUUAAAACACACAAUGGUUCAUUGUGAGGUUAUGCUGUUACAUCCUAUUUCCUUCUUCACAUCUGCUGUGUGAGAGCUCCUCUAACAAUGACUAACAGGAUACUGUGGCUCCUCUAUGUGAGAGCAGCAAAGCCAGCCUUACAGGUGCAAAGUUCGUCAUUAUGCCAGUUUCCUUUGCAUUCAUGAUGCAGCAGACAUGAAACUUUUUU
Molecule: long non-coding RNA, 6399 nt
Organism: Poecilia latipinna (sailfin molly)
Lineage: Eukaryota; Metazoa; Chordata; Actinopteri; Cyprinodontiformes; Poeciliidae
Exons: 2
Source: RefSeq, a predicted model, not a curated record